AACGAACGCUGGCGGCAUGCCUAACACAUGCAAGUCGAACGAGACCUUCGGGUCUAGUUGCGCACGGGUGCGUAACGCGUGGGAACCUGCCCUUAGGUUCGGAAUAACUCCCCGAAAGGGGUGCUAAUACCGGAUAAUGUCUUCGGACCAAAGAUUUAUCGUCUUUGGAUGGGCCCGCGUUGUAUUAGCUAGUUGGUAGGGUAAAAGCCUACCAAGGCGACGAUCCAUAGCUGGUCUGAGAGGAUGAUCAGCCACACUGGGACUGAGACACAGCCCAGACUCCUACGGGAGGCAGCAGUGGGGAAUAUUGGACAAUGGGCGAGAGCAUGAUCCAGCAAUGCCGCGUGAGUGAUGAAGGCCUUAGGGUUGUAAAGCUCUUUUACCCGGGAUGAUAAUGACAGUACCGGGAGAAUAAGCUCCGGCUAACUCCGUG
This 433-nucleotide ribosomal RNA is filed under the name uncultured bacterium. RNAcentral's name for it is "partial 16S ribosomal RNA". It matches the Rfam family "Bacterial small subunit ribosomal RNA", at positions 29 to 507 of the family's 1533-position model. The record is from RNAcentral.